This 366-nucleotide long non-coding RNA is filed under the name Oryza sativa (Asian cultivated rice). RNAcentral describes it as "long non-coding RNA (OSAT_LNC000276)". The record is from RNAcentral. Lineage: Eukaryota; Viridiplantae; Streptophyta; Magnoliopsida; Poales; Poaceae.
AGGGAAGCACCCAAACCUGCCGGUAAACAAGGCAUAAACACGCAUGCAGAGGUAAACACACAAUGCUCCACGGAAGGAAACCAAUAACUCCUGCUGAUGAAUGACAGAUAACUUAUAAUUCUAUGCAUCAAACUACCUAGCUGAAGGUACUGUCUCACUUGAAUCAACUGCCUCGUCUAUUGUAUCUGCUUUUGAGUUCUUCUCUUCUGUGAUGCAGUCUGAACUAUCAGGAUGAGACGAAUGAGAUGAGUCCUGGAAGGAGCUGGUCAGAUCAGGCUUGAACAUCUCAUCAUUCUCCAAGUUGGAAAGCUUCUCAGCAGAUUCUCCCUUGAGCAGCUCAACGACUUCAGACAUUAUCGGCCUCUG